AGACAUUGAGUCUUGAAGACUCAAAAAAUAAAAAAUUCUCUUGAAUUGGCUACCAAGUCUUAAAAGUUUGAAACCUGUUAGGGAUGGUUCGGGUCACAUUCAUGGUGACUUUUCAAACAAGAAUUAGUGAUUAAAUAUAGUUCUGAUCACAAUUUAAAUUNCAUGGGGGGAGAGAAAAUUAAUCUAGUGCUAUAUGCUUCAUAUAUCCAAGGGUCAUUAAACAUUCGUGCUUGUUGUCGUGUGUUAUUGUCGUGCAUACAAUCAUUUCUCAUUUUUUAAAUGGGACUCACUCAUCAACUAUUAAUAAAUUCAUAUCACUACAUUUCAAUUUGUCAAUAUUAAAAGAAAUAUGGAUCUUACUUAACAUUUAGGUUUUAAAUGAGACAUUGAGUCUUGUAAGACUCAAAAAACUUCUCUCUCAAAUGAGGUACCUAAUAGAUAUUAAGUCUUAAAAAUUUGAAACCUAUUAGGGAUGGUAUGGGUCACAUUCAUGGUGACUUUUCAAACAAGAAUUAGUGAUUAAAUAUAGUUCUGAUCACAAUUUAAAUUGUUGGUGGGAAUACUUUUUCAAUUUUUGGGGUUCUAUAAAUUGGCUACAUCUAUCAACCAUGUGAUAGCACAUAACCACUUACAUUUUUUUAGAAGACAAAAAAAGGUGAUGGAGAGGAAAACACUUGCUAGCUUGUGCUUCUUUCUCAUUUUUCUCUUAGCUGCUCGUAAGUUUAUAUUAUAGUAAUUUGGGAUAUCAUUUUGUAUUUUAGUCAUUGUGUUUAACUCAUAAAACCAUUUUUUAGUACAAUACUUUUUAUUAGAAAAUAAAAACAUGUAUGCAAGCUAUAAUUUAGAGUUUAAUUUUUAUAUGUUUACGAUUUUUAAAGAAUAAUUUUUCAGUUCAGUAAUUAUAAAUAUAUAUACAUAUAUUUUUUUUGAGAGAAUGAAUAUAUCUAUAUAUGUAUGUACAUAUACAUAUAUAUAUAUAUAUAUAUAUAUAUGAUUAUUCAUGAUUGCUUGACACUUUCAAUCAGAUUUUUAAAUACUUGAUUGUAAAUUCUAAUUGAAAUAAUCUUGGUAAAAUUUACUUUUCUCUCGAUCAAAUUAUAUAUCACUAUGGCCAUCUUCCUUAUGAAUUGAAGAAGGAAAACAUAAAAACAAAUCUUAAAUUUGAUGCAACAAUUUUUUUUCUAUUUAGAAAAAAAUAGAAAUAUAGCAUUAGAAAAUGAUGAAAAGUGAUAAAUUUAACUUUUUAAAAGUCAAAAUAUUGUUGAAACUAAUACAGACAUGCUACUUUUGGCUUCCUUAAUCAUUGCCCCGAGGGUAAUGGUUAGCAAGACCCUAAUAAUAAUAAUAAUAAUUUUGUCAAAAAAAAUAAUAUACUAAUAAUAAAAAAGUUUUUCUAUCAUAUGCAAAUUAAUUUAAAAUAGUAAUUUUGUUACCUAUCGAGUGAGACACCAAAUCAGCACUUUUUUAUAUGUUCAUGGAAUAAAUCAUUGAUCAAGAGAAUUAAUUAAUAUAUGGAGUAAUAUGUGUGAUAAGAUAGCAUGUUGUCUUAUUAAAUAAAAUAUGUGUUAUUCUUCAAAAAAAAAAAAUGUGUUAAUUAUAUUUGUAGUGUUUUUUUUAAAAAAAAAAAACAAAAUGAUAUUCAUUCAUUCAAAUCGAGAGAUUACAUCAUUCAACACCGCUAAAAACGUAAAGAAUGAAUCUGCGAACAAAGUCACAGCAUCCAAGUUAAUAGCAUAUAACGGCAUAAUGCCUACAAAAAUAUAUGAUGAAAUUAAAGUGACCGGAAUAUCCAUUGCCUCCGGAUCUGCAACGUUGACGCCCAAAUCUUUGAUUGAACAAUCGAUCUUUCAAUAUGAAUCAAUUGAACACCGCAUGAAGAUGGAAAAUCAAACAACGCCGCACAAGACGACGAACAACAAAUCACCACACUUAGAUGAUGAAAUUGCAAAGAAAAAAAAUCUAGAUCUAUGUGAAAAUCACUUAUUUAGAUUGAAAUAAAGAGAAAAAGAUGAAGAAAGGUGAUUUCAAGUCAAUAAUUGAUCCAAAACCACCCCUCAAUGAAGAAACGAAAACCUAGAGAGAGAAAACUAGAGCUGACUUGUUUAUAUUUAUAGUGUUAUAUUUCUUUGCUCAAAAUCGAUAGACCAACGUAGUGUAACAAAACUAAAAGUUAAGAACAAAAAUAUAAAUGGGCAUGUAUAAGACAAAAUAAAACAAAAAUAUGAUCAAGAUUUAUGAGAAUUGUUCAAACUCUUAAAGAUAAAAUUAUGUGGUUUGCAAUUGCAGUUGCACACAUUCAUGUUGGUCUUUUUCCAUGAAGAGAGAAAAAAUUAUUAAAAUUUCGGAAACCGUAAAAUUGUGUCAGAUGUCAAGCUUUGACAUCUGGAAAAUAUUUAUGUAAGAUAUCUCGUGGAAUUUGUACCUACAAAAUAUAGGACCCCCAGCCCGCGCCAAACAUGUCAAAUUUUUUAGCCCCGCUAAUCUCUUUGUGAUACGAUAAAUACAAAGUCACUUGCACGAGCUCUUUGAGCUAUAAGGCUUUUUCUACCUUAAAAUUGAAACACAUUUCUCUUGCCUUAAUUUCAAUACCAAAAAUGAAGUCAUAGCUAGAGUCUUCAACUCCAUUGGUUCUUAGCUUCAUCUAAUUUCAUUUUCUGCUGUUUGAUGCGAUCAGUCUCAUUCUAAUUGCACUUUUUAGAUGUCUGAAUAACAGAUUUACAACAAAAUAAGUAAUAAACAAAGUUGAAGAAAUUCAGAACCAAUUGUAAAGACUUAACCCAUCAAUCAUUUAGGCAGAGGAUAAAGAAGUAAGCAACUCAAGCAUGCAUAAGGAGAUUGAAAAAGUUUACGAAACAUCACAAGUAAACUUAUAUCAGUAUCGACAUUAAAAUCUGCUGAAGUAUAUGCAAGAGCACCGUGAAGUGAAUCUUCUUUUCCAACACUAGGAAGCGGAAGAAAUUCCUUUCUCGCAGCAGCUUGCAAGUGGUUAAUAGUCUUUGCAUUCUCAGGAAUGUAACCUUCUUCAUCGUAGUUAACAAAAGGUGACAAGUAAGGUGGAGGAGUGCUGUUAACAAAAGAAAAAUUUUAGGUUUUUAACGUUUAGCAAUUAAAAUUUCAAUUAGAAACAAAUUAAUCAAACAAAAUGAAAAGAAAAAAGGAUGUGUGGAUUUGUGAUUCCACAAGAAGAUAUCCCUUGAAGAAAAAACAAAUUUGCUCAGAAUAUAAUAUAGGACACUCCUACCAUAUAAGUUUCUAUCGGAAAAAUUAUGCGUGCAUUGACACAAUCAAAUAUCAUAUAUAUUUUUGGUUUUGGUGUUUUCUCCCGUAACCUGUCUGUACGUUCGUAGUUUUUCUUUGUCUCGGCUUUCUUUAUUUUUCUGUCAUGCACUCUAAUUGUUCUAUGUUCUUCCAGCAAAGGUUCACGAUAAAGAAAGCUAACAUCUUUCAAAUGGUAAUAAGUCUGAUGAGUUCCCUUGACCUUUUUCUUAGGCUGCCGGGGUGUUACAGCUUUUGAAAUGCUUAGUUUCCUAAUAUUUGCAAAAGCCAACGUAAAAAUCGAAGUAGUAACACUUCAACACAUUAUAUAGAUGCAUUUUCCGAAUGACAACAGAUCAGUAAUGCCAGAAAUUACAAAUUUGGCAGCAUUUCCCUCCUUUUUCUUCCCCUACGAUACAAAAGUAACAACAUUAAGGGCAUGUUUGGUUUGAAUUUGUCAGAAUACAUUCAGAGCUAAAGUACUUUCCUAUAAAACAUACGUUUGUAUGGACCCUGAUACUUUUUCAUUCUCCUCUUGCCGUUUGAGUUGUUCCAUUUACCAUUUGAACAUAUAUUAUGUUGUUGCAGUAAUGCGAUUUUUUUGGUAAUUACAUAUCCAAAAGUACUUUCAAUAACUAUUAUAUCUAAAUGAAUUACCUUUCAUCAUACAUGCUUUUGACAAGGGUCCCAAACAUAAACAACGCUAGAGCUGACUCAUUUUAAUCAAACUUGAUUUUAUAAAAUGAGGCUUGAUCAAACUAAUAUAGCUAACUUUAAUCCUAACAUGCCUCAAAUAUAUGAAAAGGGCUGACUUUCGUCUAGAAAAUUUUCAUUCUUCUUUUCUAACUAGUUACGGUUAAAAACUAUAAAUUCCAAAAAAACCAAAAAAUAUAUCUACAAAUAUCUGCCUUCGACGCCAACUAAAGCAGAGAGUGUAGCAUCGACACUUCAGAUGGAAGACAUGUCCACGCCAACACAAGUAAACACGUUUAAUCAGUGUUGAUGUGUCAGUGUCCGUGUUUGUGUUUCGUAUGCAAAAAGAAAUAACAAUUAACAAUAAGCUCCAACAUUUCAGCAGAAAAAUAUAAUAAUAGCUGAAACUUUUAAGCUUGAGACCCUAAUUUGAUUAUGAACUUUGUGGCAUUAACACUUCUAAUCGAAAGUGUGUCUGGUUUCCGAUGACGUCCGAUGCGAACGUGACUUUGACACAUAUGAUUUUAUUGAACCUUGAAAUUUGGUCAUUUUCCGGCUCUGUAGUGUUUCACCAUUGUUGUUGAUGAAAGUGAAACCACCAUUGGUGACAUUUUUAUUUGGAUGGUGAUAUGUAAGGUUUGAGUCAGGACUAAUGCUUCUUUCCAGGUUUUGAAGAGGUGAUUAGGAGAGUUUGGGAUAAAAAAUAAGUUUGGAAACUCACUAUUCGGCCGCCUAAUGAUCAAUUAAUAAUAAGCCUAAAGAAUUUGAUGUGAUCUUUGAAAGAAGAAAACAUAUCAGAUCCAAUAAAAUAUUACUAAAAUUUAUUAUCGGUCUAAGGUAAUUAAAAAAAAAUGUUGGCUAUUUUAUUGGACCGACAACAUUUAAAAUGGACACAAUUUAUUACUAUAAUUUAUUACUAAAAUUUACUAACAUUUAAAAUGGAAAUUCUUAAUUUGUGGAGCAAUUUAGUAAAGUAAGAAUUGCGGUCUUAUCACUUUUAGCAAGAAUAUUCACUAAUCAACUAUUAAUAAAUAAAUAUCACUAUAUUUCAAUUUUUCAAUAUUAAAAAAAAUGUGAAUCUUACCUAACAUUGAGGUUUAAAUGAGACAUUGAGUCUUGAAGACUCAAAAAAUAAAAAAUUCUCUUGAAUUGGCUACCAAGUCUUAAAAGUUUGAAACCUGUUAGGGAUGGUUCGGGUCACAUUCAUGGUGACUUUUCAAACAAGAAUUAGUGAUUAAAUAUAGUUCUGAUCACAAUUUAAAUUGAUGGUGGGAAUACUUUUUCAAUUUUUGGGGUUCUAUAAAUUGGCUACAUCUAUCAACAAUGU
RNAcentral lists this long non-coding RNA (5275 nucleotides) under Medicago truncatula (barrel medic). Its description in RNAcentral is "long non-coding RNA (MTRU_LNC003909)". Lineage: Eukaryota; Viridiplantae; Streptophyta; Magnoliopsida; Fabales; Fabaceae. The record is from RNAcentral.